GACGAACGCUGGCGGCGUGCUUAACACAUGCAAGUCGAACGGAAAGGCCCUGCUUUUGUGGGGUGCUCGAGUGGCGAACGGGUGAGUAACACGUGAGUAACCUGCCCUUGACUUUGGGAUAACUUCAGGAAACUGGGGCUAAUACCGGAUAUGAGCUCCUGCUGCAUGGUGGGGGUUGGAAAGUUUCGGCGGUUGGGGAUGGACUCGCGGCUUAUCAGCUUGUUGGUGGGGUAGUGGCUUACCGAGGCUUUGACGGGUAGCCGGCCUGAGAGGGUGACCGGCCACAUUGGGACUGAGAGACGGCCCAGACUCCUACGGGAGGCAGCAGUGGGGAAUAUUGCACAAUGGGCGGAAGCCUGAUGCAGCAACGCCGCGUGCGGGAUGACGGCCUUCGGGUUGUAAACCGCUUUCGCCUGUGACGAAGAGUGAGUGACGGUAAUGGGUAAAGAAGCACCGGCUAACUACGUG
RNAcentral lists this ribosomal RNA (468 nucleotides) under uncultured bacterium. RNAcentral describes it as "partial 16S ribosomal RNA". It matches the Rfam family "Bacterial small subunit ribosomal RNA", at positions 28 to 507 of the family's 1533-position model. The record is from RNAcentral.